UAUUGCUCUACACAAGUGUAAUUAUGAUUUGAAAUGUUGUCAGAGGAGCAAAAGGGUUUGGGUGUGGUCAUAUGGCAUCCUAUGAGCUUCAGGUUCAGGGCUCGGCGAUUACAGGGAACCAAUAUGCCAUGGCUGUGGAUUUGACCUGUCAGCUCUCAGGUAUUUGCAGGGGACCCCUGGGAUGGAGAGAGAUGCCCUUUGCCGUCUGUUUUACUGAUGUAUGGUUCCCUCUGCCAUCCCUUCGAGAGUCAAUGCAAAUCCCCACAUUGACUCCAGGAAGUGAUGGUUCAGACCCAGAACCAGUCUCAAAAUUUGGAUACAUCGUAUAGAUCAUAUCUUCUGAAUACAGAUUUUAGAGAGGUAACAAGCAACUAUCAUUAUCACAUUGGAUUAUGAAGACCAGUUACACCCACUUGUAACUUGUAUCCCUCUGGAGGCAGCUAGGACUUCAGCGCUUUCUAAUGCACAUUUUUACUCAUUUCAUACUCAUUGACCUAUUUUUCCCCUUCUGCCUGUAACCCUUGGUACUAGUGAGCAACCGGUAGCAAAAGAGCCCUUCUGAGCUGGCUCUCAGCCUGCGGAUAUACCUAAGGAUUUAAAUGGGAUGCUGAAUUUCAUCUAAAAACUGAAUCCUUAAAAGACACAGAAUAUCCAGAAGAUUGGAAAUAAAUGCAACGUCCAGCACCAGCCAUUCAGCAUGCAAGUCGGACGGACGGCUGUUGCAGGAGUUCUCUCUCUCUCUCUCCCGGGACUAAACUAAAAGGAAAAACCCUGGUAUCUGUGCAAGCCUGCAUAUUAUUCUGCCUCCACUUUAGCAGAGGCUGGUGACAUCUGAAGUAGUAAAUACAACUGACAGCUAAAAGUAUACUCAGGAGACUCUAAAUAUCACAUUGUGUUUCAUUUGAAUCCAGGUAGGCAGUGCUCUCUGCCAGCUCUAUACGGACUCUAUGAUUACUUUCAGAUGCCAAAGUCUGCCUUCCUUUCUAUCGGUCUGUCUGUCAUCUAGCUAGCUAGCUAGCUAUUUCAAAAAGUUUUAAAAAGCCAGAAGUCUAAUCUACCAUGAUGAAUGCUUUUGAGCCAAACCCUUUGUGGGGCCACAUAUCUUUUUUUGCUUGUAAUAUUUGUAUAAAGGCAAAUCAAAAGUCUGUUGGUCUGUCUGUCGCGUUACAGACUUGUCUUCGUUAACACUCGUCAGACAGGUUGUGACCUCAGUAACCCGGUGAGAUCCUGGACUCGCUCCAUCAAAGCAAUUUGAAGGUUUUACAGACGCGCAGCAGGGCGAGCAGAAAUAACUCUCUUCGUGCACUUCGCCGUCAACCGAAUGUCUCUGAUUUUUCCCAGCGUAGCUCAAAGCUCCGCGUGUGCCGUUUUGUGCAUGAUUUUAUAUCGGGGGGAUUUUAUAUAAGCUGUUGUAGGCCGUCUGUACUCGCUGCACCCAUUCACCGAGGCCCUGUGAAACCUCUUUGUAACUUCACCAGGCGGCUAUGAAACCAACUUUUUUCAUUGCUGUCACUCUGUGUCCCUUUUUACACCCGGCAAGAGCGUCAGGGCUUCCCCUACCUCCUCCCUUGACUCUCCAGAUAGCUGUAAGCAAGCCCCGUGGGGGGUUUCUAGCCCAAAUCCUACAAUGAAAGUAUAAUACAUACUUUUUGUUAACUCUCCUUUCCAGGGGCAGCUGUCCUUGCUGUCACCAGGGAGACUGGCUUCUGCUGCUGUAGAUAUACAGCACUGGCCAGGGAAAGGAAACGGCAUGCUUGGUUUUGCAUGUAUCGUGUGAAAACAUCUUUAAGUGCAAAGGGUCUCGGAGCCUCUGCUCUUAUCACAUUAAGACCUACGUAAAUCCACUUGUUUAACUUUCACUGUCAGAUCAAUGUGGACUUUAAAGUCUUCCCUGAGUCAAAGACCCUUCCUUCUUCAAACACUGACUUCUAAGUUCCUACUUGAGCUGAUCCAGAUCCACAGGGGGUUGAAGGAUCCUUGGAGCAUUACUGGUAUUUUAAAUCCGCCUAAUUUGCCUUUUUAAGAAAGCAGCGUUCCUUUCUCAGCUGCAGCUAAACUCCAUUCAAAGCUUCAGCGACAGCAUUUCCAGUAGAUAAGAAAGGACGGCAAAAGGACAGGAAGAAAGAAAGCAUGUCUAACAAAUAUACACAUGGAUAACACUAGACAGCCAGGAGGAUAUUUUAAAAAGCAUAUUGAGCUCUUUUAAAUCUGAUUUCAGAUAAGAAGCUGAAAAUUGUUUAAAUAAAAAUCCAGAUGUCA
Molecule: long non-coding RNA, 2259 nt
Organism: Alligator mississippiensis (American alligator)
Lineage: Eukaryota; Metazoa; Chordata; Crocodylia; Alligatoridae
Exons: 2
Source: RefSeq, a predicted model, not a curated record